This 238-nucleotide ribosomal RNA is filed under the name uncultured Glomus. Its description in RNAcentral is "partial 18S ribosomal RNA". It matches the Rfam family "Eukaryotic small subunit ribosomal RNA", at positions 667 to 886 of the family's 1831-position model. Lineage: Eukaryota; Fungi; Glomeromycota; Glomeromycetes; Glomerales; Glomeraceae. The record is from RNAcentral.
GGAUCAAUAUCUCGGUCAUGCCGUUGGUAUGCACUGUUAUCAUUGAUUUCUCACCUUCUAAAGAACCGUAAUGCCAUUAAUUUGGUGUUACGGGGAAUUAGGACUGUUACCUUGAAAAAUUAGAGUGUUUAAAGCAGGCUCACGCUUGGAUACAUUAGCAUGGAAUAAUGAAAUAGGACAUCCGAUUCUAUUUUGUUGGUUUCUAGGAUCGAUGUAAUGAUUAAUAGGGAUAGUUGGG